This 320-nucleotide ribosomal RNA is filed under the name uncultured eukaryote. RNAcentral describes it as "partial 18S ribosomal RNA". It matches the Rfam family "Eukaryotic small subunit ribosomal RNA", at positions 1470 to 1796 of the family's 1831-position model. The record is from RNAcentral.
CCCCUAGAUGUUCUGGGCCGCACGCGCGCUACACUGAACAGUUCAACAAGUCUUAACCUUGGCCGAUAGGUCUGGGUAAUCUUUGAACGCUGUUCGUGAUUGGGAUAGACCUUUGCAAUUAUGGGUCUUCAACGAGGAAUUCCUAGUAAACGCAAGUCAUCAGCUUGCAUUGAUUACGUCCCUGCCCUUUGUACACACCGCCCGUCGCACCUACCGAUUGAAUGGUCCGGUGAAACCUCGGGACGGCGGCUUGGUCGCUUGCGUCCGACUGCUGAAACUUGAUUAAACCAUAUCAUUUAGAGGAAGGUGUAGUCGUAACA